UUCAGAAAGGAAAAUGCAGCUGCUACAUAUCAUGAAUUUCAUUAAAAAAAAAAUGCAAGAAUAUUCAAGCUUAAUGAGCAAUAUCCCUUUUUAUACCAAAUUCAAAGCUCAGCAGAUUAUUCAUUUGUUGCAUCAUUCCCACAAAGCAACAUUUUUUAGUCUACAGUGGAGAUAACGAGUACAGAUUUAGGGGAGAAUUCGGCGAAUAGGAGCUAAUAUAAAAACAAUUGAAUUAAAACAGUAUGUCAAUGAGAGUAAAAGGCUUACAAUUGGUCCGGCAUUUUAUAAAAACAGCUUGCCCUCGUUCUUCUCCUCUAAAUGUCGAUGAAAUAGAUUGUAUCUCUACUUAUCUCAACCCUGUCUAAAGAUUGAUGGCCACUGGGAUAAAAGAAUGGUACAUCCAUCAUUUGCACUGGGCAGUUAAUUAGACUGAUGAUUCGAAGAGAUUCACAAAUCACUACCCGAUCACAAAUGCUCUUCAGUUGUGGUAAAUUUCUCAACUCGAAAAUCCAUAACUUUGGGAGACUGAAAUCCAUAAUUACUUCUUCUUCUUGUCUUUCUGCUCCUAUUAUCUCCUCCAUCGACGAACAAUCUCUGACAUUAAUCCUUUCCAGGUUUUGGAGGUUCGGCAGCAGGCAAGGAGGGAACAACUUCUUAAUGGUUGGGCAAUUUAUCAUCUCAAAAGUUCUCAGUUGGUUAAAGCUGUUACCAUAAUGUGGCAAUGAUGGUGCAACAGCAACUUCUCCGCCAAAGAGGAAACGGAAGUUCUUCAAACUGUCAAGGUUUAGAAAUUUAAGUCUUGGAAAAAUACGCCAACCGUCUUCAGGCAACAAAAACAAGCACUCCAUCCCAUUGCACUUUCUAAUGGAAACGUCUUCCAGUUGAGUUGCAUAUUCCAGUUGAGUUGCAUAUCUUAACGGAUGAACACAGUGUAAGCUUUGUGCAUCAUUGCAAUCUACAAUCGCUAGCCCUUGCAAGUCAGCUGGAAAGUUCAGAAAAUUCCCUUCUUUGCCGAUACUGCAAUCAUACGCCACAACAUUUUUAUCAACCUUAAAACUUCUUAAAAACAUAGGGUGUUCCAUAUUCUGGGAUAAUGGUCCUAUUAAAAGUUCAUAUUCACUUCCAAUCAUCAAUUCUUCCAUUCAUUCGACAAAUGUGUUGAAGCCUACGAGAUCAUGGAAACGACAAUGCAAAGUUUCCACCUUGCUCAGUGAUGCAACUUCCUCUCCCUCGACUGCUAACGUUAAAGGAAGUUUAAGAAAUUGCAAAUGAGAGGAUUUAGGUAGUAUCCUACGUCUUCUUUCUUUUACCGAUGUACCGCAGAGGUCUAGAUACAUGAGUUUGGACAGAAAUUCCAGGCCAUCUGGCACUUCUUCAACUCCACUAAAUCCGAGAUCCAAUCUCUUCAGUUCUCUGAGAUUUGCUAAAGAUGGCACACGCCUUAGCUCUGCACAUCCACUGACCACCAAGGAGGCGAGAUUGACGAGGGUAGUGACAGAAUUUGGCAAGUUUUGGAUCCCUGUAUUAGAAAGAUCAAGAACGUUGAGCCCAUGCAAGUGCUCAAAGAAAGAAUCUGCAAUCCGUCUCAAUUCAAGAUUGUCAUGCAACAGUAGAGUUGAAAGGUUGGGACAUCUUGGUGAAUGAUUAGAAGCAAUUUCUUUAAUGGAAUUAUUAUGCAAUGAAACUCUCACGAGAUCUCCUGUCCAGAUGCCUUCCUCUGGUAACUCUUUUAAUCCCUUACCAGAUUCAAUCAUGGCUCUAACUCCUGAACUUUCUUUCAUUAUUUGAAGGGCCAUGCUUCUAAUCAAGUCAUGCAUUGGUGGUGCAUAAUCAUCACUAUUCAGCAAGCAAACAUUUUCGAGUAUAUUUAACAUUGUAUGGCCCUCGUCAAACUCUUCUCUCCUGCUGUUCAUCCUCUUUAUUAUCCCCUCAUCAAUCAAAUACUGUAUCAAAUAAUCUUUUUCUAUCCAACCAUCAAGCUCAUCUUCUUUUGCUAAGGGAAAAAAUGCACAGUAUAAAAAACACUGUUGCAAUGCUGGAUCUUUCAAGUAAUCAUAACUAAGUUUCAAUUUUCGAAAUAUCUCCUCACUAACUUGUCUCUGAAUCCAACCUUUCCGUGCAUUCCUCCAUUGUUGUAUGUUGACUACUCCCCUCAUAUAUCUGGCCAUCGUUCUGAUUCCUAGAGGCAAACCUUCUAAUUCACUUACAACAGAUUUUGCAAUCUUCUCAACAUCAUUGGAAAGUGUCAUUUUGUCUCCCACUUCUUUCUCGAACAAGCACCAGCCUUCUUCCUCUGAAAGAGUCUCCAUUUUCAAGGUCUUCUGGCAAUUUGUUUGUCUACACACUUCAAAAGAUCGAGUUGUGAGAAUCAAGGUACAUCCAUUCAUACCGAUAGGAAUUCCCACAUCCUCAAGAGAAAUAUAAUCCCACACAUCAUCAAAAAUUAAAAUAGAUCUCUUAUUUUGAGUCAAUUCUUUGGACAACCUUGCUGCUCUUUUAUUUUCAUCAUCUUCACUGGAAAGAUUUAUACCCACAGCCUUCGCAAUAGAAUUUUGGAGUUUGUGGAUGCUGCAAUUUGGAGACACAUUAACCCAAUAAACGUGAUGAAACUUAUUGGGGUCUUGUAGGAGUUUAUUGUUGAGAUGUUUUGCCAGCUCAGUUUUGCCAACGCCACCCAUCCCAUAAAUACCGAUUCUUAAGACAUCUUUCAUUAACCAAUACCAUAUACUCUGCAUAUGUUUUUCAAAAUUUUCACCCACGACCUCUCUUGUCAGUAAUGUAUCGCCUAAAGUAUUAACUGGGGGCACAAGUCCUCCAGCAUUGUUCUCCAUCUCACUACCCACUCCUGGAAGUGCAAUGGUUGUCCCUUCCCCUAUUUCUUCCCCUAUUUCUUGUUCUGCGGUCUGAAGUAAUUCCCUCAGUGUCAUUCCUACAUCCGUCACUUGGUUUUCGGAUUGUCUCCCUGAAGAAGUUGGAAUUGUGAAAGCUGCAUUGUUAUUGGGUAAACUUGACAUAGUUUUACGUUUUCGGUUGGGACCUCGUAUUCCUUGACAAUAAGAUUGGGGAUCUACAAUGGCUUGAUAGGCUUCUUGUUGAACAUCUUUAGGAACUGCAGGGCAAACAUUAACACCUUGUCCUUCAAUUUUGGCCAAAUGUCGUUUAAACCUUGUAAUGCUCCCAGCGUAGCGUCCCCCACAAUAAUUACACUUGAAACCAGGAUUUAAUUUAGAGGCAUAUUUCCAAAAUGGAUCGUUGCCUCUCCCCAUUUUUUUAAAAUCCUACAGAUAUAAUAAAUUAGGGGUAAAAGGUUAAGUUCAAUUCCAAGAGAGGAGAAAACUGAGUAUCAUUUUAUAAUAAUAUCCAUGGAAAUGCAUAUAAUUGAGUCACAUCUAUUUGAGCUCAACAUUGUAUUAGAAGAUCAGCAAGGCUCACCUAUUAGCCACUUCUGUAAUUUCUUGGACUGAUCUGUAGGAUUGGGGAUCCAAUCCUCCUCUUGUUUUGUCAGCUGUAAAUUCUGAUUUCCAGUGAUGAUAUUUUCCUGGAGUGAUGGGUUAAUCUUCAAAGAUAUAUAAAUUUAAUAGUGUUGAAGAUGAAGCGCCACUGAGAUCCAACAACCACUUAGAUCUGCGAGCGAGAUGCGACUCUGGGAGAGAAGUCAAGUUGCUCUGGGAGAGAAGUCAAGUUGGAGGCAGAAGAAAACAAGACAAAGAAAACAGAGCGCACUAGGUAAAGAAAGGGCAAAAUAUUAUGAAGCGACGAGAAAUGGAAUCGCGGUCAAGGUGUGGAGCCUCGCUUCAAGGGAUUGCAAGAAAUGAUGUAUGUUUGGAUCUGUAAGACAAAAAAAAGAACACCAAUGGACUGGCUUGGGUAAUCUCUCCAAUACAUAAGUCAGUAUAGGUAUUGAGUAGAGUAAAAAAUAAAUAGAAAUAACAAUAAACCUGAUUGUGAGGAGGCUUGAUUUCCUUAUAUAGGUAUCAAGUAGACUCCUAUUUGAAGUAAAAUUUAAUAUUAAAAUAGAGUUCUUAUUUUAGAGGAAGUUCAGUUAGAGUAGGGUUCGGAAUUUUUAAUAAGUUGGGAUAUUUAUACUUAG
This 4090-nucleotide unclassified non-coding RNA is filed under the name Hevea brasiliensis (rubber tree). Lineage: Eukaryota; Viridiplantae; Streptophyta; Magnoliopsida; Malpighiales; Euphorbiaceae. The record is from RNAcentral.